UAGUGAUUAGAGUUUGAUCAUGGCUCAGAUUGAACGCUGGCGGCAUGCCUUACACAUGCAAGUCGAACGGUAACGCGGGGCAACCUGACGACGAGUGGCGAACGGGUGAGUAAUAUAUCGGAACGUGCCCAGUAGUGGGGGAUAGCCCGGCGAAAGCCGGAUUAAUACCGCAUACGACCUACGGGUGAAAGCGGGGGAUCGCAAGACCUCGCGCUAUUGGAGCGGCCGAUAUCAGAUUAGGUAGUUGGUGGGGUAAAAGCCUACCAAGCCGACGAUCUGUAGCUGGUCUGAGAGGACGACCAGCCACACUGGGACUGAGACACGGCCCAGACUCCCACGGGAGGCAGCAGUGGGGAAUUUUGGACAAUGGGCGCAAGCCUGAUCCAGCCAUGCCGCGUGCGGGAAGAAGGCCUUCGGGUUGUAAACCGCUUUUGUCAGGGAAGAAAUCUCCUGGGCUAAUACCCCGGGGGGAUGACGGUACCUGGAGAAUAAGCACCGGCUAACUACGUGCCAGCAGCCGCGGUAAUACGUAGGGUGCGAGCGUUAAUCGGAAUUACUGGGCGUAAAGCGUGCGCAGGCGGUUGUGUAAGACAGAUGUGAAAUCCCCGGGCUCAACCUGGGAACUGCAUUUGUGACUGCACGGCUGGAGUGCGGCAGAGGGGGAUGGAAUUCCGCGUGUAGCAGUGAAAUGCGUUCACAC
RNAcentral lists this ribosomal RNA (700 nucleotides) under uncultured bacterium. RNAcentral describes it as "bacterial SSU rRNA". It matches the Rfam family "Bacterial small subunit ribosomal RNA", at positions 1 to 697 of the family's 1533-position model. The record is from RNAcentral.